This 75-nucleotide transfer RNA is filed under the name Weissella tructae. RNAcentral's name for it is "tRNA-Lys". It matches the Rfam family "tRNA". From Rfam's summary of the family: Transfer RNA (tRNA) molecules are approximately 80 nucleotides in length. Their secondary structure includes four short double-helical elements and three loops (D, anti-codon, and T loops). Further hydrogen bonds mediate the characteristic L-shaped molecular structure. tRNAs have two regions of fundamental functional importance: the anti-codon, which is responsible for specific mRNA codon recognition, and the 3' end, to which the tRNAs corresponding amino acid is attached (by aminoacyl-tRNA synthetases). tRNAs cope with the degeneracy of the genetic code in two manners: having more than one tRNA (with a specific anti-codon) for a particular amino acid; and 'wobble' base-pairing, i.e. permitting non-standard base-pairing at the 3rd anti-codon position. Lineage: Bacteria; Bacillati; Bacillota; Bacilli; Lactobacillales; Lactobacillaceae. The record is from RNAcentral.
UGUCUCCUUAGCUCAGUUGGUAGAGCAGAGGACUUUUAAUCCUUGGGUCCAGGGUUCGAGCCCCUGAGGGGACAU